Molecule: ribosomal RNA, 500 nt
Filed under: uncultured Glomeromycotina
Lineage: Eukaryota; Fungi; Glomeromycota
Description: partial small subunit ribosomal RNA
Rfam family: Eukaryotic small subunit ribosomal RNA
Source: RNAcentral
CCAAUAGCGUAUCUUAAAGUUGUUGCCGUUAAAAAGCUCGUCGUUGAAUUUCGGGGUUAGUAGGUUGGUCAUGCCUCCGGUAUGUACUGAUCUCACUGAUUCCUCCUUCCUUAUGAACCGUAAUGCCAUUAAUUUGGUGUUGCGGGGAAUUUGGACUGUUACUUUGAAAAAAUUAGAGUGUUUAAAGCAAGCUAACGCUUGAAUACAUUAGCAUGGAAUAAUGAAAUAGGACGUUCGAUCUUAUUUUGUUGGUUUCUAGGAUUGACGUAAUGAUUAAUAGGGAUAGUUGGGGGCAUUAGUAUUCAAUUGUCAGAGGUGAAAUUCUUGGAUUUAUUGAAGACUAACUACUGCGAAAGCAUUUGCCAAGGAUGUUUUCAUUAAUCAAGAACGAAAGUUAGGGGAUCGAAGACGAUCAGAUACCGUCGUAGUCUUAACCAUAAACUAUGCCGACUAGGGAUCGGAUGAUGUUAAUUUUUUAAUGACUCAUUCGGCGCCUUACG